Rana temporaria (common frog) is the source of this 107-nucleotide small nuclear RNA. The record is from RefSeq and is a predicted model, not a curated record. Lineage: Eukaryota; Metazoa; Chordata; Amphibia; Anura; Ranidae.
GCUCGCUUUGGCAGCACAAAUACUAUUUGUAACGAUACAAAGAAGAUUAGCGUGGCCUCUGUCUGCGCAAUGAUGACACGCAAAUUUGUGAAGCGUUCCAUAAUAAA